RNAcentral lists this ribosomal RNA (497 nucleotides) under uncultured bacterium. Its description in RNAcentral is "partial 16S ribosomal RNA". It matches the Rfam family "Bacterial small subunit ribosomal RNA", at positions 28 to 507 of the family's 1533-position model. The record is from RNAcentral.
GACGAACGCUGGCGGCGUGCCUAAUACAUGCAAGUAGAACGCUGAAGAGAGGAGCUUACUCUUCUUGGAUGAGUUGCGAACGGGUGAGUAACGCGUAGGUAACCUGCCUUGUAGCGGGGGAUAACUAUUGGAAACGAUAGCUAAUACCGCAUAACAAUGGAUGACACAUGUCAUUUAUUUGAAAGGGGCAAUUGCUCCACUACAAGAUGGACCUGCGUUGUAUUAGCUAGUAGGUGAGGUAAUGGCUCACCUAGGCGACGAUACAUAGCCGACCUGAGAGGGUGAUCGGCCACACUGGGACUGAGACACGGCCCAGACUCCUACGGGAGGCAGCAGUAGGGAAUCUUCGGCAAUGGGGGCAACCCUGACCGAGCAACGCCGCGUGAGUGAAGAAGGUUUUCGGAUCGUAAAGCUCUGUUGUAAGUCAAGAACGGGUGUGAGAGUGGAAAGUUCACACUGUGACGGUAGCUUACCAGAAAGGGACGGCUGACUACGUG